Molecule: non-coding RNA, 549 nt
Organism: Marmota flaviventris (yellow-bellied marmot)
Lineage: Eukaryota; Metazoa; Chordata; Mammalia; Rodentia; Sciuridae
Source: the annotation of a RefSeq genome assembly
UCUUCACGUUCAGAAUCAAGAACAUUAUUUCUGUGACACUCAAGAUGAAUGCUUCUCCAUGCAUAGUGACUGUGAUACUCCUUCUGGGAGGGAUCCAUGGAGACUCAGUGACCCAGAUAGAAGAUAAAAUGACCGUGUCAGAAGGGUCUUUCCUGACUAUAAACUGUACUUAUACAGCCACAGGGUACCCUUCUCUGUUCUGGUAUUUUCAAUACCCUGGAGAAGGUCUACAGCUCCUCUUCAGAGUCUCAAAGGCCAAUGAGAAGGGCAGCAACAGAGGUUUUCAAGCCACGUACAAUAAAGAAGCCACCUCCUUCCACUUGGAGAAAGACUGUGUCCAAGAGUCAGACUCGGCUGUGUACUACUGUGCCCUGGGUGACACAGUGGCAGAAACUGCAGGGGGAGCUGAGCACAAACCCUGAGCAGCAACCAGGGACCUGGCUGUUGAGUGUCUGCCUCUGGUAUUCACUCUGGUUUCUGCACACCUACGGUGGGUUCCCCUCAGUUUCUCUGGCUAAUGAAAAAUCAUACACAUAUCCCGAACAGAAG